CCUACGGGAUGCAGCAGUGGGGAAUAUUUGGCAAUGGGCGCAAGCCUGACCCAGCAAUGCCGCGUGAAGGAAGAAGGCUUUCGGGUUGUACACUUCUUUGACAGGGGAAGAGCAGAAGACGGUACCCUGAAAACAAGCCACGGCUAACUACGUGCCAGCAGCCGCGGUAAUACGUAGGUGGCAAGCGUUGUCCGGAUUUACUGGGUGUAAAGGGCGUGUAGCCGGGAAGGCAAGUCAGAUGUGAAAUCUGGAGGCUCAACCUCCAAAUUGCAUUUGAAACUGUUUUUCUUGAGUACUGGAGAGGCAGACGGAAUUCCUUGUGUAGCGGUGAAAUGCGUAGAUAUAAGGAGGAACACCAGUGGCGAAGGCGGUCUGCUGGACAGCAACUGACGGUGAGGCGCGAAAGCGUGGGGAGCAAACAGGAUUAGAUACCCCUGUAGUC
This 442-nucleotide ribosomal RNA is filed under the name uncultured bacterium. RNAcentral describes it as "partial 16S ribosomal RNA". It matches the Rfam family "Bacterial small subunit ribosomal RNA", at positions 338 to 795 of the family's 1533-position model. The record is from RNAcentral.